UGCCGCUCGAGUCCUGGCCGAAGUGUGCUGUUCAGUGCGCAUUUAGUUCAGAGAGGGGAGCGCAGUGUCCUGAAGUCCACUUCAGUCGAGCCACAGGUCAGCGAUGUCCCGCGCCCCGCUGGCCGCGGUGCUGGCCGUCUGUCUGCUGGCCUGCUCUGCGGACGGCAGCGAGCCCUGCACAGCCGUCUCCUGCCCGCCGGGCCAGUUCUGUUUCCGCGGCUCGUGUGUGCCGCUAAUGGUGCACGGCCGCUCCAAGCCCCACCCACACCACAGCGGAGCCGGCCCGGCCGCCGCCGCCGCGCCCACACUGCCCCUGCUGCCGCUGCUGGCCGCCACGCUGCUGGGACGACACCGGGUCUGAGACAGGGUCUGAGACUGGGUCUGAGACAGGGCCUGAGACAGGGUCUGAGGCAGGGUCUGAGGCAUGGGGUCUGUCGGAUGGGCUGAGCUGGACCGGGUCCACCUGCUGUAGGCCGCGACCGGGUCUGAGGCAGGGUCUGAGAUAGGGUCUGAGGCGGGGUCUUACGACUGCGCUGAGAUCAGAGCAGGAUGGGCCGUGGGACAAGACAUAUUCGGCUGGCUGAGCUAAGACCGGACAGGCCGACUGGGUUUGCAAGCUGGACAUUGGAUACUGCACGCCGGUCUGAGAUUGUGACCGGGUCGGUCGGAUGAGCUGAGGGCAAUGACAGUCGACCGACUGGACUACGGACUGGAACCGGGUCUGCCGGCUGCACUGAGGAUUGGAACCGGGUCUACAAUAUGGGCGGCUGAGGACUGGAAAUGGGUCAGCCAGCUGGGCUGAGGACUGGGAAUGGGUCAGCCGGCUGGGCUGAGGGGUCCUCCGUGAUGGCCAGAGGUGGAGGCAAAUGCGGCCUGUGCUCAGAGACAUUGUAAACUGUACCUGUUAUGUCAGAUGUCGGUAUGUGAGAUCGUCUGUGAUGAUUACAAAGUAGCUGUGGUCGUGACUAAUGCUCUUCUUGAGCGGUGUUU
Amphibalanus amphitrite is the source of this 990-nucleotide long non-coding RNA. RefSeq lists it as uncharacterized. NCBI's taxonomy places the organism in Eukaryota, Metazoa, Arthropoda, Thecostraca, Balanomorpha, Balanidae. The transcript is spliced from 2 exons. The record is from RefSeq and is a predicted model, not a curated record.